Molecule: ribosomal RNA, 290 nt
Filed under: uncultured bacterium
Lineage: Bacteria
Description: partial 16S ribosomal RNA
Rfam family: Bacterial small subunit ribosomal RNA
Source: RNAcentral
UAGGGAAUCUUCCACAAUGGACGCAAGUCUGAUGGAGCAACGCCGCGUGAGUGAAGAAGGCUUUCGGGUCGUAAAACUCUGUUAUUGAAGAAGAACGUGCGUGACAGUAACUGGUCAUGCAGUGACGGUAUUCAAUCAGAAAGUCACGGCUAACUACGUGCCAGCAGCCGCGGUAAUACGUAGGUGGCAAGCGUUGUCCGGAUUUAUUGGGCGUAAAGCGAGUGCAGGCGGUCUUUUAAGUCUGAUGUGAAAGCCUUCGGCUUAACCGAAGAAGGGCAUCGGAAACUGGG